Non-coding RNA from Phrynosoma platyrhinos (Desert horned lizard), 73 nucleotides. Lineage: Eukaryota; Metazoa; Chordata; Lepidosauria; Squamata; Phrynosomatidae. The record is from the annotation of a GenBank genome assembly.
GACAGUGUGGUGUAGUGGUUUGAACUGUUGGACUAUGACUCUAGAGGCCAAGGCUCAAAUUCUUGCUUGGCCA